UACGAGGGGGGCGAGCGUUGUUCGGAAUUAUUGGGCGUAAAGGGUGCGUAGGCGGUUCCGCAAGUCCUGUGUGAAAUCUUCGGGCUCAACUCGAAGUCUGCACGGGAAACUGCGGGGCUUGAGUGUGGGAGAGGUGAGUGGAAUUCCCGGUGUAGCGGUGAAAUGCGUAGAUAUCACUCGGAAGGCCAAAGGCGAAGGCAGGUUACUGGUACGCAACUGACGCUGAGGCACGAAAGCGUGGGGAGCAAACAGG
This 253-nucleotide ribosomal RNA is filed under the name uncultured bacterium. Its description in RNAcentral is "partial 16S ribosomal RNA". It matches the Rfam family "Bacterial small subunit ribosomal RNA", at positions 524 to 776 of the family's 1533-position model. The record is from RNAcentral.